CCACAUUAUACCCUCUUCCAGUCUUUCCCCUUGGCAGCCAUGUGACCUCAGGUGAACAAUACAGUUUCUUCCUGAGAAUCACAGGCUCUCAGCACAGCCCCUAGUGUGCCCACAGGAGAGUAUCCUUCACAGCUCUAUGCCAAGGACAAGUGGUUCCUGCUUGGAGUUAGAGGCAGGAUUAAAGUUUGCACCACCAUGCCUGUUGGUAUAUAUAAAUAGUAUGGUUAUCUAAACCAUCUUUCUCUGUGGGAGAAGAG
Molecule: long non-coding RNA, 257 nt
Filed under: Cricetulus griseus (Chinese hamster)
Lineage: Eukaryota; Metazoa; Chordata; Mammalia; Rodentia; Cricetidae
Description: lncRNA (ENSCGRG00000025424.1)
Source: RNAcentral